AUUGAACGCUGGCGGCAUGCCUUACACAUGCAAGUCGAACGGCAGUGUGGGAGAAGCUUGCUUUUCCUGCCGGCGAGUGGCGAACGGGUGAGUAAUACAUCGGAACGUGCCCUGUAGUGGGGGAUAACUAGUCGAAAGAUUAGCUAAUACCGCAUACGACCUGAGGGUGAAAGUGGGGGACCGCAAGGCCUCAUGCUAUAGGAGCGGCCGAUGUCUGAUUAGCUAGUUGGUGGGGUAAAGGCCUACCAAGGCGACGAUCAGUAGCUGGUCUGAGAGGACGAUCAGCCACACUGGGACUGAGACACGGCCCAGACUCCUACGGGAGGCAGCAGUGGGGAAUUUUGGACAAUGGGCGAAAGCCUGAUCCAGCAAUGCCGCGUGUGUGAAGAAGGCCUUCGGGUUGUAAAGCACUUUUGUCCGGAAAGAAAUGGCUCUGGUUAAUACCUCGGGGGGAUGACGGUACCUGAAGAAUAGGCACCGGCUAACUACGUGCCAGCCGCCGCCGUAA
This 508-nucleotide ribosomal RNA is filed under the name uncultured bacterium. RNAcentral's name for it is "partial 16S ribosomal RNA". It matches the Rfam family "Bacterial small subunit ribosomal RNA", at positions 30 to 523 of the family's 1533-position model. The record is from RNAcentral.